CCAAAACAAAAAAUUAGUGUUAGGGCAUUUUUGUGUCCUAUCAUUAUUAUCCCGUGAAUAUAAGGUUGAUGUAAAGGAUUUUUUAAUUAAAAUCGUUUACUCUUUUAUUAUAUAAACUUGAUUUUAUUAUUUAUACUGAUCUUAGAUUUUUUAUUCAAAAAGUCAAUUUUUCAAAUGAAAAAACAACUUUUAACAGUGGAUGUCUAGGCUCGCACAUCGAUGAAGAACGCUGCGAACUGCGAUACGUAAUGCGAAUUGCAGGAUUCAGUGAGUCAUUGAAAUUUUGAACGCAUAUUGCACUUUCGGUUUAUUGCUGGAAGUAUGCUUGUAUCAGUGUCUGUAUUAUACCUCAUUCUUUCAUUAGAAUGGUUAUUGAGAGUUUGUCUUGUUAAAAGAUAAUCUUUUGAAAUAUAGGAUAAAAUAAAGAUACUUUAUUUACAUUAUGGUAAAUCCUUUUUGGAUCAUUAUAAUAUAAAUAGGUACUUCUUUAUAAUCUCUAUGGGAUGUUAUACUUAACCAAUUUAUCUUUUUGGACCUGAUAUCAAGUAAGAGUACCCGCUGAAUUUAAGCAUAUCAAUA
RNAcentral lists this ribosomal RNA (579 nucleotides) under Oomycetes sp. KF-2015. RNAcentral describes it as "eukaryotic LSU rRNA". The stretch from base 185 to 339 matches the Rfam family "5.8S ribosomal RNA". The record is from RNAcentral. Lineage: Eukaryota; Oomycota.